Paramuricea clavata is the source of this 543-nucleotide non-coding RNA. Lineage: Eukaryota; Metazoa; Cnidaria; Anthozoa; Malacalcyonacea; Plexauridae. The record is from the annotation of a GenBank genome assembly.
GUAAUAUGAAUUUUUUUUUCUCUGUGUUGGUGUUGUGUACUCAGGUGAAUAAUAUGUUUGCGAUGUUACUCUGAGUGCAUAUCCACACCGGGCGAGCUUGAAAAAUAUGCCCGGCCACGGUGGGAUUCGAACCUACGACCUUUGGAAUACUAGCCCAAUGCUCUUCCAACUGAGCUACGCGGUCAGGACGGCUCGAGUAAGUGAUAUUUCGGAACAGGAUCUAGUUCCUUCGAUACCAAUGUAUUCUAUUAAUAUGAAUUUUUUUCUGUGUUGGUGUAGUGUACUCAGGUGAAUAUGAUAUUUGUGGUGUUACUCUGAGUGUAUAUCCACACCGGGCGAGCUUGAAAAAUAUGCCCGGCCACGGUGGGAUUCGAACCUACGACCUUUGGAAUACCAGCCCAAUGCUCUUCCAACUGAGCUACGCGGUCAGGACGGUUCGAGUAAGUGAUAUUUCGGAACAGUAUCUAGUUCCUUCAAUACCAAUAUGUUCUAGUAAUAUGAAUUUUUUUUUUCUCUGUGUUGGUGUUGUGUACUCAGGUGAAU